This is a long non-coding RNA of Salvator merianae (Argentine black and white tegu), 1904 nucleotides long. NCBI's taxonomy places the organism in Eukaryota, Metazoa, Chordata, Lepidosauria, Squamata, Teiidae. The record is from Ensembl.
GCUGUCAGAGCGGCUCAGACUGGCACAACAAGAGAGGAGAGUGGGAAAGGGAAGGGAAGGAAAAAAGACAAGGAUUGGGAUCCAUGUGAGGCAGAGCCCAGAGACUACUUGGGAGACAGAAGUAGGCAGAGCCAGAUAGACAUGGACACCUUGAUGUCAGAUCUGCAGAGCUUGAGAACCUCCUCGCACCCCUUGGCGUCCGCACUCUUCCAGUCCCUGGCAACCUCCAUCCAGAUUUCUGCCCAACUGCUGAGGGAGAAUCAGGAGCUGAGGAGCAGCCAGCAGGCCAGGGAGGGAGCUGAGAAUGGCCAGCGUAAUAAGCAAGAGUGGUGGAGACCAUUUCGGACCCCGCAAGGGGGGACCACAGGUGGGCACAGAGGCAGCUGGGCUGCGUGUGGAGUGCUGGGACCCGACAGGGAGGCAGGGGAGCUUUAUCCUCUCUGGGCCCAUUGUGGAUGGUGGGAGGGGAGGGGAGGGGAGGGGGGAAGGGGAGGGGGUGCUCAGCUAAGCAGGAGCUCUUCUCCCAAGUCAAGCCGCCCCAGUCACCUGCUCUGUGUUUUCCAUGCAGCCAAUUGCAGCAGCGGCGGCAGCAGCCACGUCCAGCCAGGUUGCGUCCCACCUGCUUUUCCUCCACAGCCUGUGGUGGUCCAUCCCUCAGUCACCAAGGCCAGCCUUCUCGGAACAGCCUUCUCUGUGCAGGUCCAGAGCACGGGGCGGACCGGGGGCUGCGAGAAGCACUUUGUGGCCGACGUCUCCGAGGUCCUGGCCGGCCACGGAAUUUCUCUCUGCAUCGAAGAUGACAAAAAGACUUCAGAGGGCUUCCUGCUGAUUUUCUGCCCAAUCGCCUGCCGUGCGGAGGCGGAUAUAGAAAACGCUCUCGAGGGCCUCAGCCGCACGCGCAAGGCCAUCCUGGUCAUUCUGCACCAUAAAACCAGGGAGAGCGCCCGAGCCAUCCGGGACACCGANCGGCAGGUGAGGCACCCGGCGCUGGUGCAGACCGUGCACGCCUGCUACACGCUGGAAGAGGGAUUCUACUCCUGCGAGAUGAACGACGCUGCCNUGGCUGCCACGGCUGAUGCCAUCAGGAGCCACGCACCCUCACCCUCUUCUGGAGCAGCGAGUGGGGGGCAUGGGAGGGGGCCUCGGGAGGGCCAUGGAGCCUCUGCAGCCAGGCUUGAGGGUUCUGAGCGCAGAGAGCAGGGAUGGGGUAGUUCGUGGCUUUCUUUGCCCUGGAGCCAAAAGUAGUGGUGUUAUUCCCAUGCAGCCUUCUGCUGGGGGGCGCGUGGCCCCUUUGCCAUCCUGGGUGCAGAAUGUGANGCAGGGGGUCACCUCUAGCCAGCCCCCACCUACAGCAGGGAAUCUGGCCCUUCGAGGUAGGCUGGAGAGGCUCCCGCCCACACACACUCCCUGCAGGGGAGUGUCUCAACUCCAAUGGGUGAAGAGAAAGAUUGUGACCACAGAGAAUUAAAAUUAGGAGGCCGAGACCCUGUGCAGGGCGCCUCCUCUUGGUAGGCAUCCCACGGCUCGGCUGCUGAGGGACCGCCGUGACGCAGCCCCAGCUGGGCCUGCAUAGGCUGAAGCGCAGAAAGGGAGAGCGGCGUUUGCUGAUGGAGAGAGAGGAGGGUCUGCCAGGGCCUCUGCACACACAGGGACCGCCUGCGGGGAACGGGGCCACAGCAAGCAGGCCUGCUGUGGACUGGACUGCCCUCGGCCUUGGCAGUACUGCNUCAGCCAGCCGGUGAGAGGCAGAGUGCGCGAGAGAGACUGAUCCACGUCACGGUNGUCCUGCGGGAAGGAAAAUCCUUCUGGAGGGGUCCCCGCCAUCUGCCGACAAGAAAGGAGCCCGCUGGCAUUUCCUGUAUUCCUUUGUGCCUGGACUAAAUAAAGCCAUCUCUGCCUGAGCA